GGGUGGUAAUGCCGGAUGUUCCACAUGAUCGCAUGUGAUUGUGGGAAAGAUUCUAUCGGCGUGGGAUGGGGUCGCGUCCUAUCAGCUUGUUGGUGAGGUAACGGCUCACCAAGGCUUCGACGGGUAGCCGGCCUGAGAGGGCGACCGGCCACAUUGGGACUGAGAUACGGCCCAGACUCCUACGGGAGGCAGCAGUGGGGAAUAUUGCACAAUGGGCGCAAGCCUGAUGCAGCGACGCCGCGUGAGGGAUGGAGGCCUUCGGGUUGUAAACCUCUUUUGUUUGGGAGCAAGCCUUCGGGUGAGUGUACCUUUCGAAUAAGCGCCGGCUAACUACGUGCCAGCAGCCGCGGUAAUACGUAGGGCGCAAGCGUUAUCCGGAUUUAUUGGGCGUAAAGGGCUCGUAGGCGGCUCGUCGCGUCCGGUGUGAAAGUCCAUCGCUUAACGGUGGAUCUGCGCCGGGUACGGGCGGGCUGGAGUGCGGUAGGGGAGACUGGAAUUCCCGGUGUAACGGUGGAAUGUGUAGAUAUCGAGAAGAAACACC
This 541-nucleotide ribosomal RNA is filed under the name Bifidobacterium bifidum. RNAcentral describes it as "bacterial SSU rRNA". It matches the Rfam family "Bacterial small subunit ribosomal RNA", at positions 158 to 710 of the family's 1533-position model. Lineage: Bacteria; Bacillati; Actinomycetota; Actinomycetes; Bifidobacteriales; Bifidobacteriaceae. The record is from RNAcentral.